CAGUCGCCGCGGUAACACGAAGGGUGCAAGCGUUACUCGGAAUCACUGGGCGUAAAGCGUGCGUAGGUGGUGGUUUAAGUCCGUUGUGAAAGCCCUGGGCUCAACCUGGGAAUUGCAGUGGAUACUGGGUCACUAGAGUGUGGUAGAGGAUAGUGGAAUUUCCGGUGUAGCAGUGAAAUGCGUAGAGAUCGGAAGGAACAUCUGUGGCGAAGGCGACUAUCUGGGCCAACACUGACACUGAGGCACGAAAGCGUGGGGAGCAAACAGGAUUAGAUACCCCCGUAGUCCCUGUCUCUUAUAC
This 301-nucleotide ribosomal RNA is filed under the name uncultured bacterium. RNAcentral's name for it is "partial 16S ribosomal RNA". It matches the Rfam family "Bacterial small subunit ribosomal RNA", at positions 509 to 807 of the family's 1533-position model. The record is from RNAcentral.